Molecule: ribosomal RNA, 1242 nt
Filed under: metagenome
Description: bacterial LSU rRNA
Rfam family: Bacterial large subunit ribosomal RNA
Source: RNAcentral
UGAAUACGAGACGCUAAGGCGUCGAAGUAGUGUAUGUCAUACUUCCAAGAAAAGCUUGCACUGUCAUAGAUAAAAAACGCCUGUACCAUAACCGACACAGGUGGGUAGGUAGAGUAUACUAAGGGGCGCGAGAUAACUCUCUCUAAGGAACUCGGCAAAAUAACUCCGUAACUUCGGGAGAAGGAGUGCCUUAUUUAUAAGGCUGCAAUAACAAGAUCCAAGCAACUGUUUAUCAAAAACACAGGUCUCCGCUAAGUCGUAAGACGAUGUAUGGGGGCUGACGCCUGCCCAGUGCCAGAAGGUUAAGGAAGUUGGUUAGCUUUUGCGAAGCUGAUAACUGAAGCCCUGGUGAACGGCGGCCGUAACAAUAACGGUCCUAAGGUAGCGAAAUUCCUUGUCGGGUAAGUUCCGACCCGCACGAAAGGCGUAAUGAUUUGGAUACUGUCUCGGAGAGGGGCUCGGUGAAAUAGACUUGUCUGUGAAGAUGCGGACUACCUGCACCAGGACAGAAAGACCCUAUGAAGCUUUACUGUAACUUGAAAUUGAAAUUGGACUUUAUUCGCGCAGCAUAGGUGGGAGGCGUUGAUUAUAAUCUCGUGGGAUUAUUGGAGCCAUCAGUGAGAUACCACUCUUGUAAUGUUAGAUUUCUAACUUUGAAUCAUUAUCUGGUCAAAGAACAGUUUCAGGCGGGCAGUUUGACUGGGGCGGUCGCCUCCUAAACGGUAACGGAGGCGUACAAAGGUUUCCUCUGAACGGUUAGAAAUCGUAUCUAGAGUGUAAAGGCAUAAGGAAGCUUGACUGUGAGACCUACAAGUCGAGCAGGGACGAAAGUCGGUCUUAGUGAUCUGACGGUACUGAGUGGAAAGGCCGUCACUCAACGGAUAAAAGUUACUCUAGGAUAACAGGCUGGUCUCCCCCAAGAGUUCACAUCGACGGGGAGGUUUGGCACCUUGAUGUCGGCUCAUCGCAUCCUGGGGCGGUAGUACGUCCCAAGGGUUGGGCUGUUCGCCCAUGAAAGCGGUACGCGAGCUGGGUUCAGAACGUCGUGAGACAGUUCGGUCCAUAUCCGGUGUAGGCGUUAGAAUAUUGAGAGGAGCCUUCUUUAGUACGAGAGGACCGAGAAGGACAUACCUCUGGUGUACCAGUUAUCGUGCCAACGGUAAACGCUGGGUAGCUAUGUAUGGAGUGGAUAACCGCUGAAAGCAUCUAAGUGGGAAGCCCACCUCAAGAUAAGUAUUCUCA